UGGGGAAUAUUGCACAAUGGGCGCAAGCCUGAUGCAGCCAUGCCGCGUGUAUGAAGAAGGCCUUCGGGUUGUAAAGUACUUUCAGCGGGGAGGAAGGGAGUAAAGUUAAUACCUUUGCUCAUUGACGUUACCCGCAGAAGAAGCACCGGCUAACUCCGUGCCAGCAGCCGCGGUAAUACGGAGGGUGCAAGCGUUAAUCGGAAUUACUGGGCGUAAAGCGCACGCAGGCGGUUUGUUAAGUCAGAUGUGAAAUCCCCGGGCUCAACCUGGGAACUGCAUCUGAUACUGGCAAGCUUGAGUCUCGUAGGGGGGGUAGAAUUCCAGGUGUAGCGGUGAAAUGCGUAGAGAUCUGGAGGAAUACCGGUGGCGAAGGCGGCCCCCUGGACGAAGACUGACGCUCAGGUGCGAAAGCGUGGGGAGCAAACAGG
RNAcentral lists this ribosomal RNA (428 nucleotides) under Chloroflexota bacterium. Its description in RNAcentral is "Chloroflexi bacterium partial 16S ribosomal RNA". It matches the Rfam family "Bacterial small subunit ribosomal RNA", at positions 355 to 776 of the family's 1533-position model. The record is from RNAcentral. Lineage: Bacteria; Bacillati; Chloroflexota.